This 448-nucleotide unclassified non-coding RNA is filed under the name Hevea brasiliensis (rubber tree). Lineage: Eukaryota; Viridiplantae; Streptophyta; Magnoliopsida; Malpighiales; Euphorbiaceae. The record is from RNAcentral.
GUUUGAAAUUUCUUGGCUUCCAAGGUUAUACUUGUGGAUUCCUCCAUAGAUGUUUAUCAAUGGAUAGUGCGAGGGUAAAUUCUUACCUACAUUCCGUACCAAUAAGAAGUUUUUAAUAGGUAUUUAUACGUGAGAUAUACCAUGAUUUGAGAUAGGACCCGGGUGUAGAUAAGUAUUUUUCUAGUGUACAGGUUACAAGAACUUUAAGCUGUAAGUCUGUAACAUUUUCCCCACCGACAUACAUUCUCUUAUAAAUUGGUGUUUAUUUAGCUCUCAUGCCAUCUAUUGACUAGGCUUGAUGGAUUACAUGGUCAUUUUGUUUCAUAACGUACUCCUUGCUUCACAUUCCCGUUCAAUUUCACAGAGCGGAGAGUCAUGGAAGACCAUAAAAUUUUUAAUUCAAAUUUCAAUACUCAACUCAACAAGCGUUUAUCCAAAAAUUUGGGGU